GUUUCAAUCUUUAAUUUGAUCCGAGUGACAAUGAGGUUCUGUUUUUGCACUAGAAGGAACGUAUUCAGAUGCCUUAUCAAUAACAUCAAUGGAAAUUCCUUAAAUUUUCUCUUUCACCAACGAAAAGAGUGGGUACGUAUUCCUAAUUCAUACCAAGAAGAAUUAGGAUGUUUAGCUAAAUAUUGCAUUAUCUAGUGAUAAAGGCUAAGAAGCCGGUCCACUAAGUAUUCAGUGAGUGUAGUGUAAAUACUAGAUUGAAUUUAGAUAUUUAGUGGGUCUCACAUGGAACCUAGGUGAAUCUCAUUAUUUGAUGACCAGACUCAAUGUAAUGCAUAUAACACAUCAAUUUUUUUUUCCACCAUAUCACAAAUAACUAAUUGAUAUUUUUAAAAGGAUGAAGGUACAAUCUACUAUCUAACGGUUCUCGUUAAAUUAAGGCAAGAUGCUGUUUUUGCUUUUCCUUUUUCUAUUUUUUUGGUGCACUAGCUAGAGUUCAAAGGUUCUAGUUACAUUUUGUGGGCAUCUUCAAGGUGGAUUAGCUUCUGUAACGGGGCUACUUGUGAUCCUCGACUAGUCUUCGAGAGCACUCCAGAGAACUCGAAUAUCUAAAUACACGAUAAAGAGGCAAAAUUAAUAUCGGUGAAAAACUUUUCGACUGCGUAUGGUAAUCAAGAUAAAAUUCGAAAUAGGGUAAAAUAUGAUGGUCAAUGUUUAUUACCUUGGGCCGACUUUCUGCCACUUUGAUCACCCAUAUCUUGUUUCUUCAAUGCCUAAUCUAAUUGUUUCUUCCAUCCUCAGAAGUCUCAAAGUUUGCACUCUUCGCCUCUCUCUCUCUCUCUCUAACCUCGAUUCAAGUUUUCCGUUUUUUCUAAAACAAUCUCUUUGAUUAUGUAGCCAAUAUAAUUUUCAUUGAACCAUCAUACAGAUUUGCCUGUCAAAUAAGGACCAAAUUAUACAUGUGAAAAACACUUGGCUAGAAUUUUGACUAAACUUUUGCCAGUAGUCGGUGUUACGGGUGAGAUGGCAAACGGAUUUUUGGAAAUGGGAAGGGACAAAAGUUGAAAUUGACAAUCGCUAUUUAUAAUGUCUAUUUAAUGGCGCUCUGCCCUCCAUAAGAGUAGUAUUGUUUGCUUUUCACAAGCCAUCGAGUUACUCUGCAUCGACAUAUUAUAUUGUGAAAUUUUGUAAGCACUACCUCCACAAUUGAGGGUGUAUAUAUAGAGAGAUAAGGGUGAGAAAUAAGCUUGAAAUUGUGCAUGACAAAAUUUCUGGAAUAGAAAUUGAUUUCUAAUGACAAAUUGAUUUUUCAAUUUCUAUUUUAGAAAUUAAAAAGUUAAAAAUUUCGACUUCUUAUUUAUUCUUCAAUUUUAUUUUUGGAAUAUAAAUCUGUUCCAGAAAUAGAAAAAUCAAAUUGCGUUACCAAACGGAUUUCUAUUUCAAACCUGUUUUCAGGAAAUAAAGAAACACAGAAAUAGAGAAAUAGAAAUUUUAUCACGCGCGCCCUGAGUUCAUCAGGUACUCCCGAGACCAACGCGCAUUACUUGGGAACAAACUACUGUCAUCCAAGGAUUUUCUCUGUCGCUCUGCUUAAAUUUGAGUCCACCGAUUGCGCCAAAUAUUUUGACGGGGCUAAGUCGAUGGCAAGGAAAAAAAAAUAUAUUAUUCUGCACUGAAUUAUUAUAAUACACCUUAUAAAAUGAUUGAAUUAUUUGAUGUUCUAUUAUUCCGUGAUACCUCUUGGGCUAUAUUCGGUCCUUUUACCUUAUUCAUCAUGGGCCACAUCCCUCAUCAUUUGUACGAGGUAAUGAGUUUAUGACAAAGAGUAUCACAAUCACAAGCAGAACACGGAUUAAACCGGUUCGAGAACAUUUAUUAAUGGGAGCAUGAGAGUAUAUAACGACAGAAAACGAGCAUACAUGACAAAUAUACCCUUAAUAUUUGGACCAUCGGACUUGAUGAGGCGCUCGAUCGACGAUCUUAUUCCGACAUGCAAGUAGAUGUGUAGAACUCAUGCCCCCCAUGGCAAGCUGCUCCAUCAUGUCCUCACCCCUCCACACCGCACGAAGGCCCCGCAUGGAAGCUAUCCAUUUCCGCGAUCACGAUCACGACCUUGCCCUGGCGAGGGAAAGGGAUAUCGUCGUCCGAGGAAUAUGAAGCUGAAUCAUUGUCCGAGGAAUCUGAAGCUGAACUAGAGUUACCCAUUUUUCUUGAAGGAGAAGUUGCGCAACCCUUCCUUUCGAGACUAGAUUCAAACGUAUGAGUUUUUUUUUUGCUUUGGUCUGACAAAUAUAUGAGUUUGAAAGCUAGCAAACAUUGCGUAUAUAUAGUUUUUAAUUGCACUAAAAUCUUCAAUUUAAUUUACAUUUGCGUGAUAAUAAAGUUCUAUUUU
This 2389-nucleotide long non-coding RNA is filed under the name Eucalyptus grandis. RNAcentral describes it as "long non-coding RNA (EGRA_LNC001296)". The record is from RNAcentral. Lineage: Eukaryota; Viridiplantae; Streptophyta; Magnoliopsida; Myrtales; Myrtaceae.